Molecule: ribosomal RNA, 2904 nt
Filed under: Escherichia coli
Lineage: Bacteria; Pseudomonadati; Pseudomonadota; Gammaproteobacteria; Enterobacterales; Enterobacteriaceae
Description: 23S ribosomal RNA
Rfam family: Bacterial large subunit ribosomal RNA
Source: RNAcentral
GGUUAAGCGACUAAGCGUACACGGUGGAUGCCCUGGCAGUCAGAGGCGAUGAAGGACGUGCUAAUCUGCGAUAAGCGUCGGUAAGGUGAUAUGAACCGUUAUAACCGGCGAUUUCCGAAUGGGGAAACCCAGUGUGUUUCGACACACUAUCAUUAACUGAAUCCAUAGGUUAAUGAGGCGAACCGGGGGAACUGAAACAUCUAAGUACCCCGAGGAAAAGAAAUCAACCGAGAUUCCCCCAGUAGCGGCGAGCGAACGGGGAGCAGCCCAGAGCCUGAAUCAGUGUGUGUGUUAGUGGAAGCGUCUGGAAAGGCGCGCGAUACAGGGUGACAGCCCCGUACACAAAAAUGCACAUGCUGUGAGCUCGAUGAGUAGGGCGGGACACGUGGUAUCCUGUCUGAAUAUGGGGGGACCAUCCUCCAAGGCUAAAUACUCCUGACUGACCGAUAGUGAACCAGUACCGUGAGGGAAAGGCGAAAAGAACCCCGGCGAGGGGAGUGAAAAAGAAACUGAAACCGUGUACGUACAAGCAGUGGGAGCACGCUUAGGCGUGUGACUGCGUACCUUUUGUAUAAUGGGUCAGCGACUUAUAUUCUGUAGCAAGGUUAACCGAAUAGGGGAGCCGAAGGGAAACCGAGUCUUAACUGGGCGUUAAGUUGCAGGGUAUAGACCCGAAACCCGGUGAUCUAGCCAUGGGCAGGUUGAAGGUUGGGUAACACUAACUGGAGGACCGAACCGACUAAUGUUGAAAAAUUAGCGGAUGACUUGUGGCUGGGGGUGAAAGGCCAAUCAAACCGGGAGAUAGCUGGUUCUCCCCGAAAGCUAUUUAGGUAGCGCCUCGUGAAUUCAUCUCUGGGGGUAGAGCACUGUUUCGGCAAGGGGGUCAUCCCGACUUACCAACCCGAUGCAAACUGCGAAUACCGGAGAAUGUUAUCACGGGAGACACACGGCGGGUGCUAACGUCCGUCGUGAAGAGGGAAACAACCCAGACCGCCAGCUAAGGUCCCAAAGUCAUGGUUAAGUGGGAAACGAUGUGGGAAGGCCCAGACAGCCAGGAUGUUGGCUUAGAAGCAGCCAUCAUUUAAAGAAAGCGUAAUAGCUCACUGGUCGAGUCGGCCUGCGCGGAAGAUGUAACGGGGCUAAACCAUGCACCGAAGCUGCGGCAGCGACGCUUAUGCGUUGUUGGGUAGGGGAGCGUUCUGUAAGCCUGCGAAGGUGUGCUGUGAGGCAUGCUGGAGGUAUCAGAAGUGCGAAUGCUGACAUAAGUAACGAUAAAGCGGGUGAAAAGCCCGCUCGCCGGAAGACCAAGGGUUCCUGUCCAACGUUAAUCGGGGCAGGGUGAGUCGACCCCUAAGGCGAGGCCGAAAGGCGUAGUCGAUGGGAAACAGGUUAAUAUUCCUGUACUUGGUGUUACUGCGAAGGGGGGACGGAGAAGGCUAUGUUGGCCGGGCGACGGUUGUCCCGGUUUAAGCGUGUAGGCUGGUUUUCCAGGCAAAUCCGGAAAAUCAAGGCUGAGGCGUGAUGACGAGGCACUACGGUGCUGAAGCAACAAAUGCCCUGCUUCCAGGAAAAGCCUCUAAGCAUCAGGUAACAUCAAAUCGUACCCCAAACCGACACAGGUGGUCAGGUAGAGAAUACCAAGGCGCUUGAGAGAACUCGGGUGAAGGAACUAGGCAAAAUGGUGCCGUAACUUCGGGAGAAGGCACGCUGAUAUGUAGGUGAAGCGACUUGCUCGUGGAGCUGAAAUCAGUCGAAGAUACCAGCUGGCUGCAACUGUUUAUUAAAAACACAGCACUGUGCAAACACGAAAGUGGACGUAUACGGUGUGACGCCUGCCCGGUGCCGGAAGGUUAAUUGAUGGGGUUAGCGCAAGCGAAGCUCUUGAUCGAAGCCCCGGUAAACGGCGGCCGUAACUAUAACGGUCCUAAGGUAGCGAAAUUCCUUGUCGGGUAAGUUCCGACCUGCACGAAUGGCGUAAUGAUGGCCAGGCUGUCUCCACCCGAGACUCAGUGAAAUUGAACUCGCUGUGAAGAUGCAGUGUACCCGCGGCAAGACGGAAAGACCCCGUGAACCUUUACUAUAGCUUGACACUGAACAUUGAGCCUUGAUGUGUAGGAUAGGUGGGAGGCUUUGAAGUGUGGACGCCAGUCUGCAUGGAGCCGACCUUGAAAUACCACCCUUUAAUGUUUGAUGUUCUAACGUUGACCCGUGAUCCGGGUUGCGGACAGUGUCUGGUGGGUAGUUUGACUGGGGCGGUCUCCUCCUAAAGAGUAACGGAGGAGCACGAAGGUUGGCUAAUCCUGGUCGGACAUCAGGAGGUUAGUGCAAUGGCAUAAGCCAGCUUGACUGCGAGCGUGACGGCGCGAGCAGGUGCGAAAGCAGGUCAUAGUGAUCCGGUGGUUCUGAAUGGAAGGGCCAUCGCUCAACGGAUAAAAGGUACUCCGGGGAUAACAGGCUGAUACCGCCCAAGAGUUCAUAUCGACGGCGGUGUUUGGCACCUCGAUGUCGGCUCAUCACAUCCUGGGGCUGAAGUAGGUCCCAAGGGUAUGGCUGUUCGCCAUUUAAAGUGGUACGCGAGCUGGGUUUAGAACGUCGUGAGACAGUUCGGUCCCUAUCUGCCGUGGGCGCUGGAGAAUUGAGGGGGGCUGCUCCUAGUACGAGAGGACCGGAGUGGACGCAUCACUGGUGUUCGGGUUGUCAUGCCAAUGGCACUGCCCGGUAGCUAAAUGCGGAAGAGAUAAGUGCUGAAAGCAUCUAAGCACGAAACUUGCCCCGAGAUGAGUUCUCCCUGACUCCUUGAGAGUCCUGAAGGAACGUUGAAGACGACGACGUUGAUAGGCCGGGUGUGUAAGCGCAGCGAUGCGUUGAGCUAACCGGUACUAAUGAACCGUGAGGCUUAACCUU